GGUGUGCUGGCGCAAUGGUAGCGCGUAGCUCUCCUAUGGUUCAAUCCAUAAGCUAAGGUUCUGGGUUCGAGUCCCAGGUACAUCU
Non-coding RNA from Emericellopsis atlantica, 85 nucleotides. The record is from the annotation of a RefSeq genome assembly. NCBI's taxonomy places the organism in Eukaryota, Fungi, Ascomycota, Sordariomycetes, Hypocreales, Bionectriaceae.